CAGGAAUGGAAGAGAGGUGUGAUGAAUUCAAAGAAACAAGAGGAAACCCAUGUCGACACCAGGAAAACAUGCACAGAAACUCUGCACAGACAGCAACCCGAGUUCAGGAUCGAACCCAGAAACCUGGAAUUGUGAGGCAGCAAUGCGACCACUUUUUUUUUUCCAAAUGUUAUUGUUGUUGUUUUUUUAAAUAAAAAAAAAAAAAAACAUUUCAUGGAAAUCUUUCAGAUGGUGGUACUCAUGGUUGGCCACCUGAUCUUGUUGAUGGGAGAAGAUGGAAAAUUCUCGCCUGGCAGUCUAAGAACAUCAGAAGAGUUGUCAGAAGUACUUUGGUAGGUGAAAUCUUG
Long non-coding RNA from Ictalurus punctatus (channel catfish), 347 nucleotides. NCBI's taxonomy places the organism in Eukaryota, Metazoa, Chordata, Actinopteri, Siluriformes, Ictaluridae. The record is from Ensembl.